GAUGAACGCUAGCUACAGGCUUAACACAUGCCAGUCGAGGGGCAGCAUGGUCUUAGCUUGCUAAGGCCGAUGGCGACCGGCGCACGGGUGAGUAACACGUAUCCAACCUGCCGUCUACUCUUGGACAGCCUUCUGAAAGGAAGAUUAAUACAAGAUGGCAUCAUGAGUCCGCAUGUUCACAUGAUUAAAGGUAUUCCGGUAGACGAUGGGGAUGCGUUCCAUUAGAUAGUAGGCGGGGUAACGGCCCACCUAGUCUUCGAUGGAUAGGGGUUCUGAGAGGAAGGUCCCCCACAUUGGAACUGAGACACGGUCCAAACACCUACGGGAGGCAGCAGUGAGGAAUAUUGGUCAAUGGGCGAGAGCCUGAACCAGCCAAGUAGCGUGAAGGAGGACUGCCCUAUGGGUUGUAAACUUCUUUUAGAAAGGAAUAAAGUCGGGUAUGGAUACCCGUUUGCAUGUACUUUAUGAAUAAGGAUCGGCUAACUCCGUG
Molecule: ribosomal RNA, 490 nt
Filed under: uncultured bacterium
Lineage: Bacteria
Description: partial 16S ribosomal RNA
Rfam family: Bacterial small subunit ribosomal RNA
Source: RNAcentral